RNAcentral lists this ribosomal RNA (245 nucleotides) under uncultured prokaryote. Its description in RNAcentral is "partial 16S ribosomal RNA". It matches the Rfam family "Bacterial small subunit ribosomal RNA", at positions 524 to 768 of the family's 1533-position model. The record is from RNAcentral.
UACGGAGGAUGCGAGCGUUAUCCGGAUUUAUUGGGCUUAAAGGGUGCGUAGGCGGCCGAGUAAGUCAGCGGUGAAAUUUUGCAGCUUAACUGUAACAGUGCCGUUGAUACUGCAUGGCUAGGAUUUGGUUGCUGUGGGUGGAAUGUGUGGUGUAGCGGUGAAAUGCUUAGAUAUCACACAGAAUAUCAAUUGCGAAGUCAGCUCACAAAGCCAAGAUUGACGCUGAGGCACGAAAGUGUGGGGAU